AGAGUUUGAUCCUGGCUCAGGAUGAACGCUGGCGGCGUGCCUAACACAUGCAAGUCGAGCGGAGAUAUAUCGGAGAUUCUUCGGAUGAUCUUUUAUAUCUUAGCGGCGGAUGGGUGAGUAACACGUGGGUAACCUGCCCUGUACUGGGGAAUAACAGUUGGAAACGACUGUUAAUACCGCAUAUGCGCACGGGACCGCAUGGCCCUGGGAGGAAAGAUUUUAUCGGUACAGGAUGGGCCCGCGUCGGAUUAACUUGUUGGUGAGGUAACGGCCCACCAAGGUGAUGAUCCGUAGCCGACCUGAGAGGGUGACCGGCCACAUUGGGACUGAGACACGGCCCAAACUCCUACGGGAGGCAGCAGUGGGGGAUAUUGCACAAUGGGCGCAAGCCUGAUGCAGCGACGCCGCGUGAAGGAAGACGUAUUUCGGUAUGUAAACUUCUAUCAGCGGGGAAGAAGAUGACGGUACCCGACUAAGAAGCCCCGGCUAAUUACGUGCCAGCAGCCGCGGUAAUACGUAAGGGGCAAGCGUUAUCCGGAUUUACUGGGUGUAAAGGGAGCGUAGACGGUGAGGUAAGUCUGAUGUGAAAACCCGGGGCUCAACUCCGGGAUUGCAUUGGAAACUGUCUGACUUGAGUACUGGAGGGGUAAGUGGAAUUUCUAGUGUAGCGGUUAAAUGCGUAGAUAUUAGAAGGAACACCAGUGGCGAAGGCGGCUUGCUGGGCCAUUACUGACGCUGAGACACGAAAGCGUGGGGAGCAAAUAGGAUUAGAUACCCUAGUAGUCCACGCCGUAAACGAUGAGUACUAAGUGUCGGGAAACCGGUGCUGAAGUUAACACAUUAAGUACUCCGCCUGAGUAGUACGGUCGCAAGGCUGAAACUCAAAGGAAUUGACGGGCACCCGCACAAGCGGUGGAGCAUGCUGUUUAAUUCGAAGAUACGCGAAGAACCUUACCUAGACUUGACAUCCCCGGCAAAGCUAUAGAAAUAUAGUGGAGGUUACCCGGGUGACAGGUGGUGCAUGGUUGUCGUCAGCUCGUGUCGUGAGAUGUUCGGUUAAGUCCGAUAACGAGCGCAACCCUUAUUACUAGUUACUAACAUUUAGUUGAGUUCUCUAGUGAGACUGCCGGUGAUAAAUCGGAGGAAGAUGGGGAUGACGUCAAAUCAUCAUGCCCCGUACGUCUAGGGCUACAGGCGUGCUACAAUGGCCGAUACAAAAAGACGCAAUACCGUAAGGUGGAGCAAAUCUCUAAAAUCGGUCUCAGUUCGGAUUGAGGUCUGCAACUCGACCUCAUGAAGCUGGAAUCGCUAGUAAUCCUGAAUCAGAAUGUCAGGGUGAAUACGUUCCCGGGUGUUGUACACACCGCCCGUCACGCUAUGGGAGUCUGUAAUACCCGAAGUUGGUAGCCUAACCUUUUGGAGGGGGCCAACGAAGGUAGGAUAGGUGACUGGAGUGAAGUCGUAACAAGGUAACC
Molecule: ribosomal RNA, 1475 nt
Filed under: uncultured rumen bacterium
Lineage: Bacteria
Description: bacterial SSU rRNA
Rfam family: Bacterial small subunit ribosomal RNA
Source: RNAcentral